AACGAACGCUGGCGGCAUGCCUAACACAUGCAAGUCGAACGAGACCUUCGGGCCUAGGGGCGCACGGGUGCGUAACGCGUGGGAACCUGCCCGUAGGUUCGGAAUAACUCCCCGAAAGGGGUGCUAAUACCGGAUAAUGUCUUCGGACCAAAGAUUUAUCGCCUUUGGAUGGGCCCGCGUUGGAUUAGCUAGUUGGUAGGGUAAAAGCCUACCAAGGCGACGAUCCAUAGCUGGUCUGAGAGGAUGAUCAGCCACACUGGGACUGAGACACGGCCCAGACUCCUACGGGAGGCAGCAGUGGGGAAUAUUGGACAAUGGGCGAAAGCCUGAUCCAGCAAUGCCGCGUGAGUGAUGAAGGCCCUAGGGUUGUAAAGCUCUUUUACCCGGGAUGAUAAUGACAGUACCGGGAGAAUAAGCUCCGGCUAACUCCGUG
RNAcentral lists this ribosomal RNA (433 nucleotides) under uncultured bacterium. RNAcentral describes it as "partial 16S ribosomal RNA". It matches the Rfam family "Bacterial small subunit ribosomal RNA", at positions 29 to 507 of the family's 1533-position model. The record is from RNAcentral.